AUGCGCCGCAAACACCAUCAGCAACGGCUUCCACGCGCGCCACGCUCCACGCCCACGAACGACUUCUCCAUGCCAUACACACCUGCAACAGAAAAUAACCACAAGUAAUGGACAGCAAAUGACAGCAAAUGACGAUUUUGCAUGUGGUUCUUUUUUGCAUAAGAAAGUAAAGAAGGGAGAGCAUACCUUCAAAGAAGCCAUCGGAAGCCGUAUCUUCUUCUUUGAAAUUGACGCUAAUAGAACGAUUUCAUCGUGAGCUACCAUCAACCGAUUUCAAUGGUGGAUUGGUGGUGAGUGAACGGCAGAUUGAAAAGGGGCAAAUAUCUAGGGUUUUCCCUUCCUUUUCCCUCAUUUGUUU
This is a long non-coding RNA of Gossypium arboreum, 358 nucleotides long. RefSeq lists it as uncharacterized. The transcript has 2 exons. The record is from RefSeq and is a predicted model, not a curated record. Lineage: Eukaryota; Viridiplantae; Streptophyta; Magnoliopsida; Malvales; Malvaceae.